GGGGAUGUAGCUCAGCAGAAGUGCGCAUGCUUUGCAUGUAUGAGGACCCGGCUUCAAUCCUGGCAUCUCCA
Salmo salar (Atlantic salmon) is the source of this 71-nucleotide non-coding RNA. NCBI's taxonomy places the organism in Eukaryota, Metazoa, Chordata, Actinopteri, Salmoniformes, Salmonidae. The record is from Rfam.